Molecule: long non-coding RNA, 877 nt
Organism: Setaria italica (foxtail millet)
Lineage: Eukaryota; Viridiplantae; Streptophyta; Magnoliopsida; Poales; Poaceae
Exons: 3
Source: RefSeq, a predicted model, not a curated record
GAGCGACCUCUCGCGGCCUGACGACCCGGCGUAAUCGCCGCCUGCCCGCCUUCUCAUCUUCCCCGCCGCCUCCUCUCCUCCAUGCCGUCGCCUGUCCACCCUGUGAGCCCCUCCGUGUCGCUGGCUCGGGGCAGGCAGGCGGCGGCUUUUGACGCGCUUGCGAGCACAGACGCGCUCUGGGUCCGCUCCAGUGCUCCCGCUAGGCGGCGCGCGGCCUCCUUUGAUGCGGGGCAAGACCCGCUGCGAGAUGAGGUGCGGCCCCAUCGCCGCGCGCGGCGCUAUGGUGCCUGGGCACGCUGCGCCCAUGGUCUUCUCGCAACGCGCGCGCGUCCGCGGACAUUAGCCGUACCUGCGGUGGUGUUAGGAUCUCCAGAGUCCAUACGUUCGUCGCCGUCGGACUCCUGAUGAGAAGAGAGAUUUGGGAUUGGGUUUGAUUAGGCAACGGCGAACACCAUCAAAGGGAAACUUGACGGGCUCGCCGAGCAUGCUAAGCUGGAGUGCAGGGUGGAAAUUCAGUUAGCAUUUCGUCUCAUGAGGGCAAAAGGAGUAGCAGUACCACAUGACCAAAACAUAGGCACACCAUAGAGGCAGAACCACUCCUGCAGCACAUGCCUACAGGCUCCCACGCCAGGUGCUUGGUCCCAGGGUUCCUCUGUGCAACUCAAAGCUAGGUUGCUACGAAGUACCAAUGAUGAUUCACUAACCCAGCCCAAACUUUAAAUGUGAACAGUGUAUGACAUCAUAAUUUAAUUCCUCAAUGCUACUUGGUGGUACUUCUUUCUUUUUAUAAUUGCUGCUAGGAUUGAAAAGAAAUGUUUAUGUUGGAUUGUGCUGUUCAAUUAACCUGGAAAAUGAGUUUAAACAUUCUUUUCAGAUC